UUAGAGUUUGAUUCUGGCUCAGGAUGAACGCUAGCGGCAGGCCUAAUCAUGCAAGUCUAGGGGGCAGCAAUGUCACCGCGAAACGGGUGCGUAACGGUAUGCAACCUACCUGUUACAGGGGGAUAACUCAGGGAAACUUGAGCUAUACCGCAUAUUAUUAUUUGGUCGCAUGAUUGGAUAAUGAAAGCUUUGGCGUAACAGAUGGGCAUGCGUAGGAUUAGCUAGUUGGUAGGGUAACGGCCUCCAAGGCGACGAUCCUUAGGGGUUCUGAGAGGAAGGUCCCCCACACUGGACUGAGACACGGGCCAGACUCCUACGGGAGGCAGCAGUAGGGAAUAUUGGCAAUGGUCGGAAGACUGACCCAGCCAUGCCGCGUGCAGGAAGAAGGCGUAUGCGUUGUAAACUGCUUUUGUCGUGGAAGAAAAAGGUAGUGCGCUAUAAUUGACGGUACACGAUGAAUAAGCAUCGGCUAACUCCGUGCCAGCAGCGCGGUAAUACGGAGGAUGCGAGCGUUGUCCGGAUUUAUUGGGUUUAAAGGUGCGUAGGCGGUUGUAUAAGUCGGCGGUAAAAUUCGGUAGCUCAACUACGGCCUGCCAUCGAUACUGUACGGCUUGAGUGUUUGUGAGGUGGGCGGAUUGGUAGUGUAGCGGUGAAAUGCAUAGAUAUUACCAGGAACAUCGAUUGGAAGGCAGCUCACUGAC
This 701-nucleotide ribosomal RNA is filed under the name uncultured Bacteroidota bacterium. RNAcentral describes it as "bacterial SSU rRNA". It matches the Rfam family "Bacterial small subunit ribosomal RNA", at positions 1 to 733 of the family's 1533-position model. The record is from RNAcentral. Lineage: Bacteria; Pseudomonadati; Bacteroidota.